GCCCCUGUUAAUUAUGAUAACACAUUUUUCUUAGUAGUACGAUGAUGGUAGUGGGGGUGGGGACGGGCAACAGAAUGUCGGGCGGGCGUGUUUUGUUUUAUCCAGCCUGAUGUAGUACCUUUCCUGUUUCAUUCAGAUCCAGGCUAUAGAUUAGGGCCUUGUUUACUUCCACACAAAAACGCAAAAAUUUUCAAGAUUUCCCGUCACAUCGGAUCUUUAAACAUAUGCAUGAAGUAUUAAAUGUAGAUGAAAAUAAAAACUAAUUACAUAGUUUGGUCGAAAUUAACAAGACGAAUCUUUUGAGUCUAGUUAGUCUAUGGUUGGACAAUAAUUACCACAAAUAAACGAAAGUGCUACAGUAUCGUCGCGAAAUAUUUCUCAUCAGGAACUAAACGCGGCCUAGUAGUGCUGUGUCAGUGUGCGAUGAGAGGUACAAAUGUGGAAAUAGUUAUGCAACGUUCUCC
Molecule: long non-coding RNA, 464 nt
Filed under: Sorghum bicolor (sorghum)
Lineage: Eukaryota; Viridiplantae; Streptophyta; Magnoliopsida; Poales; Poaceae
Description: long non-coding RNA (SBIC_LNC003723)
Source: RNAcentral